Molecule: ribosomal RNA, 154 nt
Filed under: Corticiales sp. 1 TKPB-2016
Lineage: Eukaryota; Fungi; Basidiomycota; Agaricomycetes; Corticiales
Description: 5.8S ribosomal RNA
Rfam family: 5.8S ribosomal RNA
About the family: 5.8S ribosomal RNA (5.8S rRNA) is a component of the large subunit of the eukaryotic ribosome.
Source: RNAcentral
AACUUUCAACAACGGAUCUCUUGGCUCUCGCAUCGAUGAAGAACGCAGCGAAAUGCGAUAAGUAAUGUGAAUUGCAGAUUUCAGUGAAUCAUCGAAUCUUUGAACGCACCUUGCGCUCCUUGGUAUUCCGAGGAGCAUGCCUGUUUGAGAGUCA